Molecule: long non-coding RNA, 629 nt
Organism: Mastomys coucha (southern multimammate mouse)
Lineage: Eukaryota; Metazoa; Chordata; Mammalia; Rodentia; Muridae
Exons: 3
Source: RefSeq, a predicted model, not a curated record
GGCAGAGCUUGGAUGUGAACCAUACUGUUACCCGGUUGCUGGGAACAGCUAUCACGUGAGGGCUGUGUGUGUGUGUUCCACCUGUCCUCACUUGCUCCUCCUAAGGUAGCUGGUCCUGUGCCCAACUUUGAUUCAUUUCUAGUGAAAAACAACCUGACCUGAAGAUAAGAAUUCACUCCAGCAAGAUCAUCGGGUAUGAUAAUGUGAAACUCUCAGAGUUCAUGUUAACUAGUGACUUAUUGCACUCAAGAGUUCUCAUGUGUGAGGAGGUGUGAGCUUUGGAAGGAAGCAGGCACCUCUAGAGAUUUUUCCAUGCAGACAGGGAUCCAGCUCAGGACAGCGGGAGCUCACAGAUCUGCUGGGGGGGGGGGGUUGCAGAAAUGGAGAGCCAUAUGAUGUCAUUGUAUUAUUUUCAUGUCAUCCCACUGCAACUGAAAUCUGGACCCCAGGAAGUUGCUGACCUGAUUCCAUUACCACAAGGUCCUUUGGUAGCAGCUGGCUUGGGGAAGCUGGUUGCUAAAGUGCCCCAUGAACUUCCACAUCUAUAAGCUAUCGAAGCUUAGUCAAGGGUGUUAACCUGGGAAGACCUAAUUUUCCUCUAGAAUCACACAUGUCAGAGUAUAUGAAAA